GACAGCGUGUCCGAGUGGUUAAGGAGGUGGACUCGAAAUCCAUUGGGCUCUGCCCGCGCACGUCCGAAUCCUGCCGCUGUCG
RNAcentral lists this transfer RNA (82 nucleotides) under Perkinsus chesapeaki. It matches the Rfam family "tRNA". From Rfam's summary of the family: Transfer RNA (tRNA) molecules are approximately 80 nucleotides in length. Their secondary structure includes four short double-helical elements and three loops (D, anti-codon, and T loops). Lineage: Eukaryota; Perkinsozoa; Perkinsida; Perkinsidae. The record is from Rfam by way of RNAcentral.